CACGUGCUUAAUUGGGGAUCAGUUUAAAAAGGAAGGGAGUAGGUAGAGGUUGUAAGCAUGUCUCCACAGGCCUAUUAGUCUAAAUACCGUGGUGAGAUAAGGCCGGUAUCAGAAUGAAAGCAUGCACUGCUUAUACUUAGAAUGGCAUAUCUGAAGAAAUAACAAACAAUUAUGAAACAGAUUAAUAUCCGGAAAGUCUGUAAUAUGGUAUAUUAUUUGGCCUAUUGCACAUGGACUUGGUCCUGAAAGCGUAUGAUUACAUUACACAUAUUGUCUCCACUUGGAAUGGAUGGAGAAGGAGAUGUAUUACCACAUUAUGAAGAGGAACAUCCUCCCCACUGGAUUCCACGGGAUUUGUCUCUCUACUGUGGACGAACAGCUCUACAGGAUAAGAACUGGUUAUUCCUAUAUGUGAAGCUGUACUAUACAUCUGGGGGAAGACUCCUUGUUACAUUUUGAUGUACUUUGUUAUGUUUAGUGUGCAAGCCACUUUGGCUCCGAUAUGUCUACCAGAUAAAUUAAUUGUGGGAGUUAAGUUGAUGGUUUGAGUACUCCUUUUUCUACUGUUCUAGUCACGUUGGGUUGUUUGGUUAUCUUUGUAUGCAUCUCUGUGUGCGGCCAGGCUAGAAGAAGACUGUGCUUGUACACGAGCAGGUAGCUGGGGUUAAGGGAGCACUUGCUCUUGCUCCCUUAACCUGGGCUAACAGCCGGGCCUAAAAGCCAGGCUAGUUGGCGUUGCCCUGCUGGGAUAGGGCCCAGUCGCAGUGGUUUUCAUGCGCAGUUAACCCAGACUGGGCUUUUUAAAAAAAAUUUAUUCGGUCAUUGACCAGUAAACAGACUGGGCAUUCCUAGCCUGGCUUAGGCAGUGUUUGAGAAUAGCCACACUGCAAGAUCUUAAUAAAAUGAUAUUAUGGGUGUCCAUCAGAACAUAAACAAUAAUGUAUUCAUAGUGUCAUGUAUUAAAUUUAUCUCAUAUAUUUAAGUACUGCAUGUCUAAGAAUUCAUGGGUAGCAUUCAGUCUAAGUUAGCCAUAACCAAGUUCCAUUGAAAUUUGUGGGCCUUAUGGUAGUAAAGAUAACUCUGUGCUUCCAGUGGUGCUUCUCAUGAGUAACUUUGUCUAAAUGCUAUCCCCAUAAUAAGCAAUAGCAAUUUUGAAAAGCAACAUGAUAAGAAAACAACUUAGCUGAUAACAGUACAAUCUCAAUCCAUUUAAAACAGCAUGUUAAAUUAAAGUUGCUUUUUGCCCUUA
This is a long non-coding RNA of Hemicordylus capensis (graceful crag lizard), 1249 nucleotides long. RefSeq lists it as uncharacterized. NCBI's taxonomy places the organism in Eukaryota, Metazoa, Chordata, Lepidosauria, Squamata, Cordylidae. The transcript is spliced from 2 exons. The record is from RefSeq and is a predicted model, not a curated record.